UGGAUACAGUACAGCUACACUGGCGCCGACAUUUUGAAAAUUUGAGAAAACAAAAACAUUCUCCAACGAGUUCUUCAGCUCGGGGAAUGAGAGAAUAGAUUCACCUUUGUGUCGCUUUUCAGAUCGUAUUUUAAUUCCUUUCCGAAUAUGGACGGCACUCCAGUACAGCAUGUGCAUGGUUGGACCUGUUGACAUUUUUAGAAACGCAUCUUGGCAUUAUACAGAGUAUUGUUGUACUGCUCCAAAGUGCUUGUUGACAGACUGAAACCACUUGCUUGCAGCUCUUAAGGUUUACUUCUUGAGAGCCGUCAGCUACAAAAUGGAAGGUCAACAAAUCCAGUAUACUUGAAAAGCAAGAAAGAAACACCAGAAAAUAUGAAAAGACAGAAGAACAAGAGAACUUGAAUAAAAAAAAAAACUUUUAAGGAUAGGAAUUCAGGAUUUACUUGGAAACUAAAUUUAUUUUGAGAACAGCAGUGAUUGACGAAGCUCUGUUACUUAAAGAGAUAAUGUAUUAUCACAUUGGUUUUGUUAUUGUCGAGCCCGCUUGUGGAAGCAAAGACAUAGUUGUCCAAAUGUCUGUUCGGUGAAUGUGCAUGUGUGCGUCUGUCCGGAUUUGUUUGUCCAGACCAUAACUUGGACAUGCAUGGAGCAAUCUUGUUUAUAUUUGGUAUAAUGUUAACCUCAGUGAGACGGAGUGUCAUGCACAAACCCCAGGUUCCUAUCUCAAAGGCCAAGGUCACACUUACAGGUCAAAGGUCAAAUCCAAAAAUGAUUGUCCGGAGCAUUUCUUCUUCAUGCAUGGAGGGAUUUUGAUGUAACUUGGCACAAUUGUUCAUCAUCAUGCGACAGUGUCUUGCAUAAGAUCCUAGAGUUACUUCCCUUUGUUACUAUAAAUAGCUUACAUUUGUAACUUUUUUAUUACUGGUCAUAGGGAAAAAUCAAGACCACUUUUCUGUAGUACAACAUGCAUGUUACAUCCAAUUUUCAGGUGUAUUUUGACCUAUCUCUGCUGGUGCGGAUUUUUGUGUGGACUUAGAAUUUUUUUAUAUAUUUUUUUUAUGCCCCCGAAGGUAGGCUUAUAGUUUUUGAACCGUCUGUCGGUCUGUUCGCAAUUUUCGUGUCUGGUCCAUAUCUUUGUCAUUGAUGGAUGGAUUUUCAAAUAACUUGGCAUGAAUGUGUACCACAGUAAGACGACAUGUCGCGCGCAAGACUCAGGUCCGUAGCUCAAAGGUCAAGGUCACACUUAGACGUUAAAGGAUAGUGCAUUGAUAGGCUUGUCAGGUCCAUAUCUUUGUCAUCGAUGGAUGGAUUUUCAAAUAACUUGGCAUGAAUGUGUACCACAGUAAGACGACAUGUCACGCGCAAGUCCCAGGUCCGUAGCUCAAAGGUCAAGGUCACACUUAGACGUUAAAGGAUAGUGCAUUGAUGGGCAUGUCCGGUCCAUAUCUUUGUCAUCGAUGGAUGGAUUUUCAAAUAACUUGGCAUGAAUGUGUACCACAGUAAGACGACAUGUCGCACACAAGACCCAGGUCCGUAGAUCAAAGAUCAAGGUCACACUUAGACGUUAAAGGAUAGUGCAUUGAUGGGCGUGUCCGGUCCAUAUCUUUGUCAUCGAUGGAUGGAUUUUCAAAUAACUUGGCAUGAAUGUGUACCACAGUAAGACGACGUGUCGCACGCAAAACCCAUGUCCGUAGCUCAAAGGUCAAGGUCACACUUAGACAUUAAAGGAUAGUGCAUUGAUGAGCGUGUCCGGUCCAUAUCUUUGUCAUCCAUGGUUGGAUUUUCAAAUAACUUGGCAUGAAUGUGUACUACAGUAAGACGACAUGUCAGGCACAAGACCCAGGUCCGUAGCUCAAAGGUCAAGGUCACACUUAGACGUUAAAGGUCAUUUUUCAUGAUAGUGCAUUGAUGGGCAUUUCCGGUCCAUAUCUUUGUCAUUCAUGCAUGGAUUUUAAAAUAACUACGCAUGAAUGUGUGACACAGUAAGACGACAUGUCGUGCGCAAGACCCAGCUCCGUAGGUCAAAGGUCCUUAACUCUGACAUCAUUCAAAGUGCCAUCAGGGGCAUGUGUCAUCCUAUGGAGACAGCUCUUGUUUUUAAUUAUUUUUUUUUAAAUUUACGUUCCUUUGUUGUUACUGUAAAUAACUUAUAUUGUAACUUUUUGCAAUCUUUUUUUUAUUUGGCAUAAAUGUUUGCCUCAAUGAGACAAGGAGUGUCAUGUACAACUCCCAGUCCUUUUGACAGCUGGCGGGCUCGACAUAUUGCCCAUGGGCAUAUAGUUCUCAUAAAACAUACUAAAGUUUCAUUAAUCUUAUUUUAGAUAAUUGUUUUCUGGUUUAUUUUGUAAAGAAUGUCUACUACAUUUUAAUUAACAUAGUUACAGUAAAGUAAUAUUUUUCAUGAGAUUUUAAAGAGAAUGUUCUGUUAUACCCCCAUGUAGUAAGCUUGUCUGUCUUUCAGUCAGUAGGUUUUCAUGGCUUCCAGAUGAUAACUCCUGAAAAGCUUGACCGAUUUAAAUAUUUUUUGGUACAUAGGUACAGGUCAAGACAACUUUGGGGUCAGUAGGUCAAAGGUCAAGAUAACUUGCCAAUGCUUUGGCCUGGGAUCAUAGCUUUUGUAACACAGGUGUAACAUGAUAAAAUACAGGUUGUUCAAAUUUGAGGUCAAUAGAUCAAAGGUCAAGGUCACAGUGACCUCGAACAGUUGAACCGUUUCCGAAUGAGACCUUGAGCCUAUGAUGAUUAAGUUUGGUACACAGGUGUUACAUCAUGAAAUACAGGUCAAGUUUUACUUUGAGGUCAGUAGGUCAAGGUCACAAUAAGGCAAAACAGUGAAAUGUUUUUCAGAUUAUAACUUGAGAAUGCUUGAGCCUAGGAUCAUGAAAAUUGUUAGGGAGGUUGAUUAUGAUCAGCAGGUGACCCCUAAUGAUGUUGAGGUCAGUAGGUCACAGGUAAAGGUCACACUGACCCGGUUCUUUAAAAUAAUGCAUGGAGGGGCACCUGGGGUCUUCCUCCACCAUUAAAACUGGAAAGUCGCCAUAUGACUUAUCCUGUGUCUGUGUGAUGUUAAAUUCAACAAAAUAACGGUUCUUUAAAACGUUUUUUAUAUGCCCGAAGGAGCGUGUUAUGUUUAUGACGCUGGUGUCUGUCUGUCCGUUAGCAAUUUCGUGUCCGCUCUGUAACUCUUGAACCCCUUGAAGGAUUUCAAGGAAACUUUACACAAAUGUUCACCACACCGAGACGAUGUGCAGAGCGCAUGUUUUGGAUGUCUCGCUUCAAGGUCAAGGUCACACUUAGGGGUCAAAGGUCAUAUCAGUUUGUUUCGUGUCCGCUCUGUAAUUCUUGAACCCCUUGAAGGAUUUCAAAGAAACUUGACACAAACGUUCACCACACCAAGACGACGUGCAGAGCGCAUGUUCCGGAUGACUUGCUUCAAGGUCAAGGUCACACUUAGGGGUCAAAAGUCAUAUCAGUUUGUUUCGUGUCUGCUCUGUAACUCUUGAACUGCUGGAAGGAUUUCAAAGAAACUUGGCAGAAAUGUUCAUCACAUUGUAACGAUGUGCAGAGCGCAUGUUCCGGAUGACUCGCUUCAAGGUCAAGGUCACACUUAAGGGUCAAAGGUCAUAUAUGACUUUGCUUUGUGUAUAUUGCUCUGCAUUGCAGUGCUCUUGUUUUUAUUUGGCAGAUCUCUUUUUUUGUACUUACAAUAAUUUUUUUUUUUUUUUUUUAAUUACUUCCCUUUUAUGUUACUAUAAAUAGCAUAUUUUGAAACUUUUUUAUUAUUGGCCGUAGGGAAAAACCGAGACCACUUUUCUGUGGUACAACAUGGAUGGUACCUCCAAUUUUAAGGUGUAUUUUUACAUACCUAUAUCUGAUAAGGAAUUUUUUGUAGACUUUGAAUAUUUUUUUUGUGGACUUAGAUUUGUUUUUUGAAGUUUUCCUUUUGUUGUUCUAGUCCUUUGGGGCUACAACAGUCAAGUUCUUAAAAUUUUGCUCCCAUCCUAUAAUGUAAGCCUUCGGGCGUAUAUUGCUCCGCUUGGCGGCGCUCUCGUUGGACAGUAACUUCAGGAUGCUUGGGAUGAGAAACACAAAAUUUAGUACAAGGUUGGUCUUGACCAGCAGAUUACCUGUAUUGAUUUAGAGUUCCAAAGAUCAGAAUGACCGGGAACAUUUAAACCUUUUCCAUGCAACAAGGUGAGCUUUUGUGAUCGCUCUGUGUCCGAUGUCCGUUCAUGAGUCCGUCAUCAACAAUUUGACUGUUAACACAGGUCACAAUUUUGACUAAUCUUUAUGAAACUUGGUCAGAAUGUUAACCUCAAUAAAACCUUGGACACAUUUGAUAUUGGGUCAUCUGGGAUCAAAAACUAGGUCACCAAGUCAAAUCAAAGGAAAAGCUUGUUAACACUGUAGAGGUCACAUUUAAGACUAUAUCUUCAUGAAACUUGGUCAGAAUUGUCAUCUUGAUGAUCUCAAGGUCCAGUCUGAAUCUGGGUUAUGUAGGAUCAAAACAAGGUCACUAGGUCAAAUCAAAGGAAAAGCUAGUUUACACUCUAGAAGCCACAUUUAUGACCAUAUCUUAAUGAAACUUGGUCAAAAUGUUCAUCUUAAUGAUCCAUAGAUCAGAUUCAAAUCUGGCUUAAGUGGGGUCAAAAACUAGGUCACCAGGUUAGAUCAAGGGAAAAGCUUGUUAACACUCUAGAGGUCACAAUUUUGGCCCAAUCAUAAUGAAACUUGGUCAGAAUGUUACCCUCAAUAAAAUAUUGGACGAGUUUGAUAUUGGGUCAUCUAGGGUCAAAAACUAGGUCACCAGGUCAAAUCAAAGGAAAAGCUUGUUAACACUAGAGGCCACAUUUAUGACCAUAUCUUAAUGAAACUUGGUCAGAAUUUUAAUCUUGAUGAUCUAUAGGACAAGUUAAUUAAAUCUGGGUCAGGUGGGAUUAAAAACUAGGUCACUAGGUCAAAUCAAAGGAAAAGCUUGUUAACACUCUAGAGGCCACAUUUAUGACUUCAUCUUCAUGAAACUUAAUCAGACUGUUAAUCUUGAUGAUCUUUAAGUCAAGUUUGAGUCUGGGUCAUGUGGGGUCAAAAACUAGGUCACCAAGUCAAAUCAAAGGAAAAGCUAGUUAACUCUUUAGAGGCUACAUUUAUGAUCAUAUCUUAAUGUAACUUGGUCAGAAUGUUAUCUUGAUGAUCUUUAGGUCAAUAUGUCAGGUGAGCGAUACAGGGCCAUCAUGGUCCUCUUGUUUAUUUGUUCUUGUUUUAAGAGAAAUUGUACAUUUUAGAAUACAGAUUACAGCAAGUCACAUUUUCUUUGUUUUGACAAUACUUAUUUCAAAGCCUGACAAAAGCAUCCAGUACUGUUAUUAAAAGUUGUUAUUCACAGUUGAGCUCUAUUUCUUGUAUGGAUAAAACAAAUUGUGUGAUCUGUGAUUAUUAUAAAUGUGUAUACAGAUAAACCUUAAACAUGUGAACAGUUUAUUCAAUAAAUAAAGUGUAAUGCAAGUCUUUGUAAUGUGUAUAUAAAAGCAAAAUUAGGAUUUGUUUUACGAGUAAUUUCAGAAUUACAAUUAACACAAAUAGAAAAAAUCAAGCCUGCACAAGAAGGCUAAUAUGUCUCCCUAGACUGAGCUCUUAACCUGCCGUGGUGCAAAUAGAUUGUUGAUGUGUGUCUGUCUUGUUAACAGUGAGUUGCAAUCUAGUAACUUUUCAGUUUGUAUGAUUUUUAGCUCGACAAUACGAAGUAUAAGGAGAGCUAUCCUACUCGCCCCAGCGUCGGCGUCUUUCCGCGUCCCCACCUUGGUGAGUUUUGGUGCACUUCCUCUUUUUUCAUCUUAUCUCUGUAAUUACUUGAUGGAUUUGAUUCAAACUUGAAAUACUUAUUCCUCAUCAUCAUCCACAUCAUCUGACAUAAGGGCCAUAACUCUGGCACCAAUAUUUCAUGAAUUAUCCCCCCUUUUCACUUAGAUUUUCAGGUUAAAGUUUUGAUGCACUUUAACUCUAUCUCUGUUAUUAUUGAAUGGAUUUGAUUCAAACUUAAAAUAGUUGUUCAACAUCAUCACCCACAUCAUAUGACACAAGGUGCAUAACUCUGGUACCAUUUUUUCAUGAAUAUUCCCCCUUUUUACUUAGAAUUUCAGGUUAAAGUUUUGGUGCACUUUCACUCUACCUCUGUUAUUACUGAAUGGAUUUGAUUCAAACUUAAAAUAAUUGUUCAGCAUCAUCACCCACAUCAUAUGACACAAGAUGCAUAACUCUGGCACAAUUUUUCAUGAAUUAUUCCCCUUUUUACUUAGAAUUUCAGGUUAAAGUUUUAUGCACUUUCACUCUGUCUCUGUUAUUACUGAAUGGAUCUGAUUCAAACUUAAACAAUUGUUCAACAUCAUUACCCUUAUCAUAUGACACAAGGUGCAUAUUUCUGGGACCAAUUUUUCAUGAAUUAUUUCCCCUUUUUACUUAGAAUUUUAGGUUAAAGUUUUGAUGCACUUUCACUCUGUCUCUGUUGUUACUGAAUGGAUUUGAUUCAAACUUAAAAUAGUUGUUCAACAUCAUCACCCACACCGUAUGACGCAAGGUGCAUAACUCUGGCACCAAUUUUUCAUUAAUUAUUCCCCCUUUUUACUUAGAAUUUUAGGUUAAAGUUUUGAUGCACUUUCACUCUGUCUCUGUUAUUACUGAAUGGAUUUGAUUCAAACUUAAAAUAGUUGUUCAACAUCAUCACCUACACUAUAUGACACAAGCUACAUAACUCUGGUACCAAUAUUUAAUGAAUUAUGCCCCUUUUUGCUUAGGAUAUACUUAUAUAGUGUUUUGAUACAUUUUAUCUUUACCUCUCUUAUUACUUUAAGUUGAUAUUUUUGACAUAGACACGCUAUUGUGCAGUAUCUUCAUCCAUAAUUGGAGUCAUUAAACACUCCAGUGACAGCUCUAGUUUCCUCAGAUAUGCCCAGUUUCACUAUCCAGCAUCGAAAUAGUCGAGCGCGCUGUCUACUGUGACAGCUCUUGUUAGCUUACCUGAGCACGGUAUGAGCUGAUGUGAUCACCUUAAGUAUGUCAUUGUGCUUCUCAACAAUUUGCCUGUUAACACCCUAACUAGAGUAGACAGUUUUUUUUAAAUGUUAAAGGGAUGAGUUGAAGUCUGAUCGAUUCCCGAUUGAGGCAGUGCCUUAUUUCAUAUUAGAAUCUAGUUGAAAAAAAACUAUUAGGCUAUCUAAACAAACUUCCUGUGAUAUGUAUAAAUCAGAAUAACAGCAUUAAUCUUUUUUUUUUAAUUUCUACUACAUACACACUGAUGUAAUCUGUUCAGAAUAGUUUGACUAUAAUACGAAUAGCAUAUUAGAUCUAAGACACGUGAGAAAUAAAGCAAUAUGUCUAUGGUACCUACAUGUAAGAAUGUCAAUAAGCGGAUACAUGAAUGAAAUUAAAGUUUAUACAACUAGAUAAAACUAUGAAAGAAGAAAUACAUAAAAUGGUGAAUCUACGGACAGAUUAGAUUCUGUUAUUAUAUGUCUUGUAAUCAAUGCUACUGAUCAAUGUAAUAAUUACUCGUUCUACUUAGUUUAACUGUUUAUAUACAUGUAUAUAGAAAUGCCACUGUAUUUUGUCUAGCAGAAUACUUGUAACAAUUAUUGCCACUGUAUAACUUAGAUGGAAAACACAUAUUAUAGCUCCGUUUGUAUUAUAAUUACCACUGUAUUUUUGUGUCGCAAAACACUAAUUAAAAUGAUUUAUUUUGUGACAAUAGGCCCGCUAUGUUGCUUUAUCCUGGAAACGCCUCAAGUAAGGACAACAAGGUAUGGCAAAAAUUCAUUCCGCUUUGACGCUGCCCGGGUGUGGAACAGUCUGCCAAAUGACUUACGUACAAUCGAUCAGUACAAAGAUUUUUCCCGACUGAUCAGCACCUGGACAGGUCCAAAAUGUAAAUGUGCCAUGUGUGAAUAGCAUAACACCGCUUCAUCUGUUGUCCUGCUUUGCAUGUGCUUGUUUUUUUCUUUCUUUAAAGAUUUAGUUUACUGUGUAUAAUUUUGUUGCAAUGUUCUUUCGCAUUUGUUUUUAUCGUUGCUUUUAUGUACAUGCCUACUUAAAGACUGCUUCCCUGUUGCCAGUCACUGAUGCCCUUUGUGCUUUUUUCUUUUUGCCAUAGAGAA
Molecule: long non-coding RNA, 8147 nt
Organism: Mercenaria mercenaria
Lineage: Eukaryota; Metazoa; Mollusca; Bivalvia; Venerida; Veneridae
Exons: 4
Source: RefSeq, a predicted model, not a curated record